Molecule: ribosomal RNA, 440 nt
Filed under: uncultured bacterium
Lineage: Bacteria
Description: partial 16S ribosomal RNA
Rfam family: Bacterial small subunit ribosomal RNA
Source: RNAcentral
CCUACGGGCGGCAGCAGUGGGGGAUAUUGCACAAUGGGGGAAACCCUGAUGCAGCGACGCCGCGUGAGUGAAGAAGUAUUUCGGUAUGUAAAGCUCUAUCAGCAGGGAAGAAAAUGACGGUACCUGAUUAAGAAGCCCCGGCUAACUACGUGCCAGCAGCCGCGGUAAUACGUAGGGGGCAAGCGUUAUCCGGAUUUACUGGGUGUAAAGGGAGCGUAGACGGCAGCACAAGUCUGGAGUGAAAGCCCGGGGCCCAACCCCGGGACUGCUUUGGAAACUGCCAUGCUAGAGUGCUGGAGAGGUAAGCGGAAUUCCUAGUGUAGCGGUGAAAUGCGUAGAUAUUAGGAGGAACACCAGUGGCGAAGGCGGCUUACUGGACAGUAACUGACGUUGAGGCUCGAAAGCGUGGGGAGCAAACAGGAUUAGAUACCCCAGUAGUC